Molecule: signal recognition particle RNA, 309 nt
Filed under: Rosa chinensis
Lineage: Eukaryota; Viridiplantae; Streptophyta; Magnoliopsida; Rosales; Rosaceae
Description: sRNA RchiOBHm_Chr6g0264091
Rfam family: Plant signal recognition particle RNA
Source: RNAcentral
GCCGAGCUUUGUCACGCAAGCUUAUAACCCAAGUGGGGGCGUGAGGGUGUUGGAACUUUGGUUCAGCAUUAGCUAGUCGGGUUCGGAAUGGCUGUAUUCUGACCCGCCCGUUCCAAGCAAGGAGUUGGGCUAUGUGGCUUGGGCGAAGGCUCUGGGCUUCAUGGUUCCUAGAGAGGAGGGCAACGCGUGAGGCUGGUUUCACAGAGCAGCGAUCACCUCCCUCUCUUUGCAGUGGAAAGAUAACGGGUCGGUGCCUUCGGGAUCCACCAUGGCUCGCUGGGCUGUUCCAUUUGAACCAACACUUUUUUU